RNAcentral lists this microRNA precursor (73 nucleotides) under Astyanax mexicanus (Mexican tetra). RNAcentral describes it as "mir-460 microRNA precursor family". It matches the Rfam family "mir-460 microRNA precursor family". Lineage: Eukaryota; Metazoa; Chordata; Actinopteri; Characiformes; Acestrorhamphidae. The record is from Rfam by way of RNAcentral.
CGUCACGGCGCCUGCAUUGUACACACUGUGCGGAGUGUGUGUGCACAGCGCAUACAAUGUGGAUGCUGUGGGA